Molecule: long non-coding RNA, 1567 nt
Filed under: Cinara cedri
Lineage: Eukaryota; Metazoa; Arthropoda; Insecta; Hemiptera; Aphididae
Source: RNAcentral
AACUGUAGGUAUGUACAAUUAUUAAAAUUAAUAUUUUAUACCUUAUUGUUAAUGUUAAAUGAAUAUGUAGUAUCUAUAAUCAGAACUAGUUUAAUUUGAAAAUUAUAAUUGUAAAAUAACAUUUAUUAUUUGAUUGAAAAUUGCUCUAAUUAAUUGUGUACAACCUUUUGAAUUUAAAUGUUUAAGUUAAUUUCUAUUGGGUAUAAGAUGUCAUAAAAGAAAAAUAACAUAUACACAAAUCUUCAUAGCUUCAAGUGCCAGUUAUAUUCAUUGUACAAGAUAAUGAAGUUCCAACUGAAAAAUGUUAUGUUUUUUAUGAUAUUGAAACUCAAGUGAAAAAAAAUACACUUAUUACGCUCUAACUGAAUAUUUAAUUAUAAGUUAGAUUGCUUAUAGUUAAAUACAUUUUGUUUCUUAUUUAGACUGAUCAUUACAAGUCAUUGGCAACAAAUUUCUUGGUGAUAAAAUUGUACCACUUAUGGAACUGGACAACAUACUUGACUUCUCAUUAAUUAAUAAUUGGACAGAAAACAAUAUUCAUUCUCUAGGUUUAAUCAAAAUCACUAUGAAUACCUACAUUCGCCACCUGUAGACUCAUCGAAAUUGUAUUGGUAUUUUCCAGUUUUGAAAUUAAUUUGCAUGAUCUAAUUGAUUUUUAAUUUUUACAUAAACAUUCUGUAGAAUUAAAGUUCACUAAAAAACCAUUAACAUUGACUAUAUAACUGUUAUAGCCACUUGAUUUGUAAUAGUUAAUGCGAUUACCAGUGAUCUACUCAGACCAGACAUAUGAAUAGUCUUGCCUACCACAUCAAAACAUAACCUAGGCGGUUUCACAAGGAGGACACAUCAAUUUUUAGUUGUUUAGGCGCAGGAAUACAAAUUUUUCUCGUAAACAAAGUAUGUUAUACAUAUCAAUUAUGUUUUUUGUAAAUCAUUUAAAUCAAAAUAAUAUUAAUUACUUAGCUGGAAUCCUAAUGGAAUGCAAUCUGAAAUUACCUUUCAUUUGAUCUGGACAUUGAGAAAAUCAACAAUUGCUCAUAACAAAAGAAUAUAGUUAUUUACCCAUUAAAAAAUGAGGGUAAUUAUUUAGUUUAUGUCAAAACAUCUUAGCUUAAAAAAUUACCAGUCAUUUUGACAGUAAGUAAAAUAAAAAUUUGUUUAGAUAAAAUUAUAAGCUUCAAGCAUUUGUAGUAUGAUACAAGGAAAUAUACAUAUUUUUUAAAACUUAAAUAAUAUCAAAUAAUAUUUAUUUAAUGAAAUUGAUAAAUAAAGUUACCUACUCAAUAUUUUGAAAACCCUUUAAUUAGCUCAAUAUUUUGUGAAUAUUAUUUUAUAAGCAACAGAUUAAGGAAACUAGAGCUGAUUACCUUUAAACAUACUGAAAACAAGUUCUAUUUUUUUUAAUAGAAUACAAUUUAAAAUUUAGUUUUACUAUAAUGUGUGUUUUUUGUAUUAAGUGUAGCACCUUUAGUUGGUAUAUUAGAGAAAUUAGUUUUUGAUUUUAAAAGAGGUUUUAUAAAUAAUUGAGAAAAACCAGAAAAAAAAUGAUGGGAGUUUACAAGUUUUG